CCUACGGGAGGCAGCAGUGGGGAAUAUUGCACAAUGGGCGCAAGCCUGAUGCAGCGACGCCGCGUGAGGGAUGACGGCCUUCGGGUUGUAAACCUCUGUUAGCAUCGAAGAAGCGAAAGUGACGGUAGGUGCAGAGAAAGCGCCGGCUAACUACGUGCCAGCAGCCGCGGUAAUACGUAGGGCGCGAGCGUUGUCCGGAAUUAUUGGGCGUAAAGAGCUUGUAGGCGGUUGGUCGCGUCUGCUGUGAAAGGCUGGGGCUUAACCCUGGUUUUGCAGUGGGUACGGGCUAACUAGAGUGCAGUAGGGGAGACUGGAAUUCCUGGUGUAGCGGUGGAAUGCGCAGAUAUCAGGAGGAACACCGAUGGCGAAGGCAGGUCUCUGGGCUGUAACUGACACUGAGGCGCGAAAGCGUGGGGAGCAAACAGGAUUAGAUACCCGGGUAGUC
RNAcentral lists this ribosomal RNA (445 nucleotides) under uncultured Rothia sp. Its description in RNAcentral is "bacterial SSU rRNA". It matches the Rfam family "Bacterial small subunit ribosomal RNA", at positions 338 to 795 of the family's 1533-position model. The record is from RNAcentral. Lineage: Bacteria; Bacillati; Actinomycetota; Actinomycetes; Micrococcales; Micrococcaceae.